Molecule: ribosomal RNA, 448 nt
Filed under: uncultured bacterium
Lineage: Bacteria
Description: bacterial SSU rRNA
Rfam family: Bacterial small subunit ribosomal RNA
Source: RNAcentral
CAGGGAAUCUUGCACAAUGGGCGAAAGCCUGAUGCAGCGACGCCGCGUGGGGGAUGAAGGCCUUAGGGUCGUAAACCCCUUUCAGCAGGGACGAAAAUGACGGUACCUGCAGAAGAAGCCCCGGCCAACUACGUGCCAGCAGCCGCGGUAAGACGUAGGGGGCGAGCGUUGUCCGGAUUUAUUGGGCGUAAAGAGCUCGUAGGCGGUUGCGUAAGUCGGAUGUGAAAACUCAGGGCUCAACCCUGAGACGCCAUCCGAUACUGCGCUGACUUGAAUCCAGUAGGGGAGUGUGGAAUUCCUGGUGUAGCGGUGAAAUGCGCAGAUAUCAGGAGGAACACCCAUGGCGAAGGCAGCACUCUGGGCUGGUAUUGACGCUGAGGAGCGAAAGCAUGGGUAGCGAACAGGAUUAGAUACCCUCGUAGUCCCUGAGCGGGCUGGCAAGGCGCAU